GAGGAUGAACGGCCACACUGGAACUGAGACACGGUCCAGACUCCUACGGGAGGCAGCAGUGGGGAAUCUUCCGCAAUGGGCGAAAGCCUGACGGAGCAACGCCGCGUGAGUGAUGACGGCCUUCGGGGUGUAAAGCUCUGUGAUCGGGGACGAACGGUCCGUAAGUCAAUACCUUAUGGAAGUGACGGUACCCGAAUAGCAAGCCACGGCUAACUACGUGCCAGCAGCCGCGGUAAUACGUAGGGUGCAAGCGUUAUCCGGAAUUAUUGGGCGUAAAGGGCUCGUAGGCGGUUCGUCGCGUCCGGUGUGAAAGUCCAUCGCUUAACGGUGGAUCCGCGCCGGGUACGGGCGGGCUUGAGUGCGGUAGGGGAGACUGGAAUUCCCGGUGUAACGGUGGAAUGUGUAGAUAUCGGGAAGAACACCAAUGGCGAAGGCAGGUCUCUGGGCCGUCACUGACGCUGAGGAGCGAAAGCGUGGGGAGCGAACAGGAUUAGAUACCCUGGUAGUCCACGCCGUAAACGGUGGAUGCUGGAUGUGGGGACCAUUCCACGGUCUCCGUGUCGGAGCCAACGCGUUAAGCAUCCCGCCUGGGGAGUACGGCCGCAAGGCUAAAACUCAAAGAAAUUGACGGGGGCCCGCACAAGCGGCGGAGCAUGCGGAUUAAUUCGAUGCAACGCGAAGAACCUUACCUGGGCUUGACAUGUUCCCGACAGCCCCAGAGAUGGGGCCUCCCUUCGGGGCGGGUUCACAGGUGGUGCAUGGUCGUCGUCAGCUCGUGUCGUGAGACGUUGGGUUAAGUCCCGCAACGAGCGCAACCCUCGCCCUGUGUUGCCAGCACGUCGUGGUGGGAACUCACGGGGGACCGCCGGGGUCAACUCGGAGGAAGGUGGGGAUGACGUCAGAUCAUCAUGCCCCUUACGUCCAGGGCUUCACGCAUGCUACAAUGGCCGGUACAACGGGAUGCGACACCGCGAGGUGGAGCGGAUCCCUUAAAACCGGUCUCAGUUCGGAUUGGAGUCUGCAACCCGACUCCAUGAAGGCGGAGUCGCUAGUAAUCGCGGAUCAGCAACGCCGCGGUGAAUGCGUUCCCGGGCCUUGUACACACCGCCCGUCAAGUCAUGAAAGUGGGUAGCACCCGAAGCCGGUGGCCCAACCUUUUGGGGGGAGCCGUCUAAGGUGAGACUCGUGAUUGGGACUAAGUCGUAACAAGGUA
This 1213-nucleotide ribosomal RNA is filed under the name metagenome. RNAcentral describes it as "bacterial SSU rRNA". It matches the Rfam family "Bacterial small subunit ribosomal RNA", at positions 296 to 1498 of the family's 1533-position model. The record is from RNAcentral.